GGAAUUUUGGACAAUGGGCGAAAGCCUGAUCCAGCAAUGCCGCGUGCAGGAUGAAGGCCUUCGGGUUGUAAACUGCUUUUGUACGGAACGAAAAGCUUUGGGUUAAUACCCUGGAGUCAUGACGGUACCGUAAGAAUAAGCCCCGGCUAACUACGUGCCAGCAGCCGCGGUAAUACGUAGGGUGCAAGCGUUAAUCGGAAUUACUGGGCGUAAAGCGUGCGCAGGCGGUUUUGUAAGACAGAGGUGAAAUCCCCGGGCUCAACCUGGGAACUGCCUUUGUGACCGCAAGGCUAGAGUACGGCAGAGGGGGGUGGAAUUCCGCGUGUAGCAGUGAAAUGCGUAGAUAUGCGGAGGAACACCGAUGGCGAAGGCAACCCCCUGGGCCUGUACUGACGCUCAUGCACGAAAGCGUGGGGAGCAAACAGGA
This 427-nucleotide ribosomal RNA is filed under the name uncultured bacterium. RNAcentral's name for it is "bacterial SSU rRNA". It matches the Rfam family "Bacterial small subunit ribosomal RNA", at positions 358 to 777 of the family's 1533-position model. The record is from RNAcentral.